GCGUUGUCCGGAUUUACUGGGUGUAAAGGGUGCGUAGGCGGCAGAGCAAGUCAGGCGUGAAAGCCAUGGGCUUAACCCAUGAACUGCGCUUGAAACUGUUUUGCUUGAGUGAAGUAGAGGCAGGCGGAAUUCCCGGUGUAGCGGUGAAAUGCGUAGAGAUCGGGAGGAACACCAGUGGCGAAGGCGGCCUGCUGGGCUUUAACUGACGCUGAGGCACGAAAGCAUGGGUAGCAAACAGGAUUAGAUACCCUGGUAGUCCAUGCCGUAAACGAUGAUUACUAGGUGUGGGGGGUCUGACCCCCUCCGUGCCGGAGUUAACACUAUAAGUAAUCCACCUGGGGAGUACGGCCGCAAGGUUGAUACUCAAAGGAAUUGACGGGGGCCCGCACAAGCAGUGGAGUAUGUGGUUUAAUUCGAAGCAACGCGAAGAACCUUACCAGGUCUUGACAUCCGACUAACGAAGUAGAGAUACAUUAGGUGCCCUUCGGGGAAAGUCGAGACAGGUGGUGCAUGGUUGUCGUCAGCUCGUGUCGUGAGAUGUUGGGUUAAGUCCCGCAACGAGCGCAACCCUUGUCCUUAGUUGCUACGCAAGAGCACUCUAAGGAGACUGCCGUUGACAAAACGGAGGAAGGUGGGGACGACGUCAAAUCAUCAUGCCCCUUAUGACCUGGGCUACACACGUACUACAAUGGCCAUCAACAGAGGGAAGCAAAGCCGUGAGGUAGAGCAAACCCCUAAAAAUGGUCCCAGUUCAGAUUGUAGGCUGCAACUCGCCUACAUGAAGUCGGAAUUGCUAGUAAUCGCGGAUCAGAAUGCCGCGGUGAAUACGUUCCCGGGCCUUGUACACACCGCCCGUCACACCAUGGGAGCCGGUAAUACCCGAAGUCAGUAGUCUAACCGCAAGGAGGGCGCUGCCGAAGGUAGGAUUGGCGAG
Molecule: ribosomal RNA, 934 nt
Filed under: uncultured Eubacteriales bacterium
Lineage: Bacteria; Bacillati; Bacillota; Clostridia; Eubacteriales
Description: bacterial SSU rRNA
Rfam family: Bacterial small subunit ribosomal RNA
Source: RNAcentral